Molecule: ribosomal RNA, 1251 nt
Filed under: Aphthona lutescens
Lineage: Eukaryota; Metazoa; Arthropoda; Insecta; Coleoptera; Chrysomelidae
Description: 16S ribosomal RNA
Rfam family: Archaeal large subunit ribosomal RNA (bases 1041-1199)
Source: RNAcentral
UUGAAAUAAUUUUAUUAUUAAAAGUUUUAAUUUUUAAUUAUUUAAAAAAAAAAAUUUAAUUUUAUUAUAAAUAAGAAAAAAUUAAAUUUAUAAUAGUUAAUAGUAUUGUGAAAGAAUUUUUAAAUUAUAGGAAAGAAAAAUUCACUUUUUGUACCUUGUGUAUCAGGGUUUAUUAAAUUUAAUUAUAAAUUUAUUAUUCUCGAAUUUAAAAGAGCUAAAUAAUAAUAAUUUUUAUUGUAGAAUAAAUAUAUUUAAUUUUUAUUUAGUAAUGAAAUGUUAUUCGUUUUUAAUUAUAUCUAGUUAUUUAAGAAAAAAAUUUAAUUUUAAUAUUAUUAAUAUUUAUUUUUAUGUUUAAUUUAAUAUUAGUAAUUGUAAAUAUUUUUAGGGAUUAGCUUAAAAAUAGAUUUUUAUUAAAAAAUGUUUUUGUAUAUAAUUUAGGAUUAGAAAUUUUCAAAAUUUAAAGUGGGUUAUACUUUAAUUUAUAUGAAUAUAUAAUUUAUAUUUUUUAUAAGUUUUUUAUUAAAUUUUAAAUUUUAAUUUAUUAAAUUUAGUAAUAAUGAUAAAAUUAGUAUAAAAUAUUAAAAUAAUAAAAUUUUAUUUUAGGUUAAUUAAAGGAAUUCGGCAAAUAUAAUUUUCACCUGUUUAUUAAAAACAUGUCCUUAAAGAUUAUAAUUUAAGGUCUUACCUGCCCACUGAAGUUUUAAAUGGCCGCGAUAUUUUGAUCGUGCUAAGGUAGCAUAAUCAUUAGUUUUUUAAUUAAAAGCUAGAAUGAAGGGUUGGAUGAAAAAUUUUCUGUCUCUAUAUUAAUUUUAUUAGAAAUUUAUUUUUAAGUUAAAAAGCUUAAAUAUUUUUAAAAGACGAGAAGACCCUAUAGAGUUUAAUAUAAUAGUUUUAUUUAUUUUUUUAGGAUUUAAUUUAUAAAUUAAUAUUUAUAUUUAAUUGGGGUGAUUAAAAAAUUUAAUAAACUUUAAUUUUAUAUUUAUAUAAAUUUAUAAUUUUAUGAUCCAAUUAUUUUGAUUAUAAGAUAAAAUUACCUUAGGGAUAACAGCGUAAUUUUACUAGAGAGUUCAAAUUGAAAGUAAAGAUUGCGACCUCGAUGUUGGAUUAAAAUUUGUAUUUGGUGUAGAAGUUAAAAUACUAAGUCUGUUCGACUUUUAAAAUUUUACAUGAUCUGAGUUUAAACCGGUGUAAGCCAGGUUGGUUUCUAUCUUUAAUUUAGUAAUAUAUUUUAGUACGAAAGGACCAAAUAUA